UACGUAGGGUGCGAGCGUUGUCCGGAAUUAUUGGGCGUAAAGAGCUCGUAGGCGGUGUGUCACGUCGGCCGUGAAAACCUGGGGCUUAACUCUGGGCGUGCGGUCGAUACGGGCAUCACUAGAGUUCGGCAGGGGAGACUGGAAUUCCUGGUGUAGCGGUGAAAUGCGUAGAGAUCGGGAGGAACACCAGAGGCGAAGGCGGCGACCUGGAGAGUGACUGACACUCAACUGCGAAAGCGUGGGGAGCAAACAGG
Molecule: ribosomal RNA, 254 nt
Filed under: uncultured bacterium
Lineage: Bacteria
Description: partial 16S ribosomal RNA
Rfam family: Bacterial small subunit ribosomal RNA
Source: RNAcentral